UCCCCAGGUAUGCCAGUCUC
This 20-nucleotide unclassified non-coding RNA is filed under the name Mus musculus (house mouse). RNAcentral describes it as "oocyte_clustered_small_RNA7487". Lineage: Eukaryota; Metazoa; Chordata; Mammalia; Rodentia; Muridae. The record is from RNAcentral.